ACGCUCGACACCUACGGUAGGCAGCAGUGGGGAAUAUUGCACAAUGGGGGAAACCCUGAUGCAGCGACGCCGCGUGAGUGAAGAAGUAUUUCGGUAUGUAAAGCUCUAUCAGCAGGGAAGAAAAUGACGGUACCUGAGUAAGAAGCCCCGGCUAACUACGUGCCAACAGCCGCGGUAAUCUGAGCGGGCUGGCAAGGC
Molecule: ribosomal RNA, 198 nt
Filed under: uncultured bacterium
Lineage: Bacteria
Description: partial 16S ribosomal RNA
Rfam family: Bacterial small subunit ribosomal RNA
Source: RNAcentral